This 72-nucleotide transfer RNA is filed under the name bacterium. Its description in RNAcentral is "tRNA-Gln". It matches the Rfam family "tRNA". Rfam says of the family: Transfer RNA (tRNA) molecules are approximately 80 nucleotides in length. Their secondary structure includes four short double-helical elements and three loops (D, anti-codon, and T loops). Further hydrogen bonds mediate the characteristic L-shaped molecular structure. tRNAs have two regions of fundamental functional importance: the anti-codon, which is responsible for specific mRNA codon recognition, and the 3' end, to which the tRNAs corresponding amino acid is attached (by aminoacyl-tRNA synthetases). tRNAs cope with the degeneracy of the genetic code in two manners: having more than one tRNA (with a specific anti-codon) for a particular amino acid; and 'wobble' base-pairing, i.e. permitting non-standard base-pairing at the 3rd anti-codon position. RNAcentral also lists the same sequence under 2 other names. The record is from RNAcentral.
UGGGGCGUCGUUCAACUGGCAGGACCCAGGACUUUGGAUCCUGUUAUGAAGGUUCGAUUCCUUCCGCCCCAG